AUACAGCUGAUGAGUCCUAAGUAGGACGAAACGCACGUCAUGUAC
Molecule: non-coding RNA, 45 nt
Filed under: Schistosoma curassoni
Lineage: Eukaryota; Metazoa; Platyhelminthes; Trematoda; Strigeidida; Schistosomatidae
Source: RNAcentral